RNAcentral lists this unclassified non-coding RNA (219 nucleotides) under Hevea brasiliensis (rubber tree). The record is from RNAcentral. Lineage: Eukaryota; Viridiplantae; Streptophyta; Magnoliopsida; Malpighiales; Euphorbiaceae.
AAACUGGCACAGUGGAGGAAUAUGAACCAUAGUUACCAAAUUCACCUUCUCCCUUUAGGUUCCAUGACCCUUAUUGUGCGUUCCAAAUAUGGGGCAUUUGCAUCUCAAAACAUUGUAGGAUGUGAUCCGAGUUGUCAAAUUUGGCGAUACCAUUCACUUGGUACAAAAUCAAUGCAAGAGUAAAGUUACGACACAAAAUCGAAAGGGAAAGUGAACGGA